GAAAUGCGAUACGUAAUGCGAAUUGCAGAAUUCAGUGAAUCAUCGAAUCUUUGAACGCAAAUUGCGCUCUCGGGUUACCCCCAAGAGCACACCUCUCUGAGUGUCGGUUUAACCAAAUGUCACCAAUUUAUUGGUGUACGAAAGCCUGAGGGUAAGGGGUUUCGGCUCUUUUCCCUUUAAAACUUAUGCCGCACAAUUUUGUGUGUCGGCGGCAAGUUGCUUUCACUUAAUUGUGAAUUCAAUCCGCUGACCCUUGGUUGUGUAGCCACAAAGAAACAAAAGAAUAGUAGUCUGCUGGCUCAAGAAAGCUUGCUUCGGCUUGCAAUCAAAAGUUGGUGGUUCUUCUGUUCAAACUAUGAAUUAGACCUCAGAUGAAGUGGGAAAACCCCCUGAAUUUAA
Molecule: unclassified non-coding RNA, 399 nt
Filed under: uncultured fungus
Lineage: Eukaryota; Fungi
Description: sequence contains ITS1
Rfam family: 5.8S ribosomal RNA (bases 1-106)
Source: RNAcentral